Long non-coding RNA from Cercocebus atys (sooty mangabey), 2690 nucleotides. RefSeq lists it as uncharacterized. The record is from RefSeq and is a predicted model, not a curated record. NCBI's taxonomy places the organism in Eukaryota, Metazoa, Chordata, Mammalia, Primates, Cercopithecidae. The transcript has 4 exons.
AAGAUACAAGGACUAUUCAAAAUGCAAACAUCUAUAACCCCUAGUUUAUAUUGGCAAUUAUGGACAGCAAUUAUUAAUUAAGAGCUAAUUAACUGAACUACUUUUAUGUGUUUCAACCUAUUUUCUUUUAUUACAUAAUUUUUAGUUUACUAAAUAUGUACUUAGCAUGUAUAUGUAAACCUAAUAAUGUUUCUGGAAUACUAGCAGAUCCAUUCUGACAUCAACAUCCAGAUUGUUGCCUUUUAUUGCUAGGAAAACCACACAAGUGUGAUGCAAUGGCACAGGUCGUAUCCUGACGGUGGUGGUAAUUCCUAGUCUUCCCAGAGAGGCUGCAACCAAGUGGCAUGUCACUGCAGCGGCAGAUGAACCAUUUAAAAGGAAGCAUUUUGCUUUGAAGAAGAAAGCUAAGGGUUUUCAAAUGGAUUGUGAAGCUGUGGCAUCCAGUUCUGCUUCCAGUGCAUCAGUCCGUAUCUCUUUACAAUGAAUGUCACCUUCUACCUCCUUACCUGAUGUACAUAGCAUUCUAGAGGACCUGAUAACUGUACUUGUACAAGAAAGGGGAAGAACGUAAAAUUCACCAAGCUCCACCAUUGUGUUUUAGAAUAUUCUAUUUAAAGAUACAACAUUGUAAUGCUGAACUUCUGCAAGCAGGUAAGAAGACCAUUCGAAAGGCGAAGGGAAGGUACAGAUUGUGGAGCAACAUCAUAUAUGCUCAUCAGACAGACAGAAUAACAUAAGCAGCAUGGGAGACUUUUGCCCCUUAUCCAGUCAGAGUGUAGGAUGAGAGAUAGGAAUCCACUGUUUCCACUGUUGUUCUCAGCUCUUUUAUAUCUUCUGUGUGAACCUCUUACUACUCUAUGAGUGAUUGCAGAGUUUAAAGCAAUGCGUUUUUCCUACUCGAUAGCCCUCUUUGUUAUAUUCCAAACCAUGUUUAAUGUAUAAUGAUACACACAUUAUACAUUCAUACAUGCAUAUUAGUGAAUAGGUUUGUGUACACAGUACCAUGAAUACUAUUCUUUAGAGAUGACUUACAGAAUUUAAACCAACCCCAAUAUAAAUCUGACUUCAUGCUCCACACAUGUAAGUAAAAGCCAAAAUGUCAUCCCCCACACCAGCUCUGACUCAGAGGGAAGCUCCAUCAUUUAUGUUCCAAGAGCAUUUUGCAGAAAGAGCUUUGAUUCAUAGUGCUAAGAGAAAGAAACACCCCAAUGUGCACUUGGCAUAUUUCACUGUAUAGCUAGCUACCAAAGCAAGGGUUCUGAACCAAGAGACACAUUUCAUUCUCAUCAUGGAAGUCAAGCUCAAGAAUCAGAACAUUUUGCUGACCAACUGGUUAAUUUCCAAUUUAAGCAGCAAUGGGAAGUUCCCACUCUUUCCAAGCCAAUGAAAGUUUUGGUUUUUGUUGGACCAGCUUCAUGUAAAUGACACUGACUGACAGUUGAUUCAGAACAAUCAAGCCCAAUUUGAUGUACUAUUCCUUUAUCAAAUUAGCCUAAAUUGCAUGCAAAGCCCCUCAGUGGGUUUUUAAAUGCAGUUGUAUGUCAGACCUUGCUAUAGGUGCAUUUGAAUUUAAUAUUUGCAAAUUAAAUUGUACGUUGAACAUUUUAUGGAAGUUCACUUUUAAAAUGCAUUUCCUGCAUCAGAUAUUUCUAAAGUAAAGUGAAUAACUACCUGCUCAUUUAUCUUUUUGUUUGAAUACGGAUUUUAAUAUACUUAAUUUGUUUAAAGCAAAAACCUUUCUAGAGCUAACAUUUUAUCUUUAGAACUUUUGGGGAUUGAUUGUUUCUUUGCAGGCUAAACAACAUAAUAACAGUUAUGAUCCACCAACAUUGUGGUAUUAUUAUCUUUACAUUACAGGGAAGAGAGCAAGGCACAGAUGCUUCUGGUUAUGAUUCCAAGAUCAGUUACCUGCCUCCUUCAUGGAUAGUAAGGUGUUUUCUGAUCCAGUGAGAAGUUCUUGAAAAAUGAGAAGAAAGAGAGGUUUAAUUGUAACAUGGAUACAUUUUGGACUGGAUGCCAGCCACUUGAAUAAGGCUUGGCACUUGGCACAGUACCUGGCAGAUAGUACUUAAUGAAUGUCGGAUGGAUGGCAAAAAGAGACAACAGGGGAAACAGAAAGAAUGAAGGAAAGAAGGAAAUAGUUGGAAAAACAGUUUAGUUGAUCUGAUCUGCAUAGUUCCAGACAUUGCUGGAAGCCCAGAUGGACAAGAUGGUGCCUGCACUGCUUCUCGUAUCUGUGACCCAUUUACCUAGAGAAGAAAUUAUCCGUGCAGCAUGCUGGUUAACACUUCGAUCAACAAACAAGAACUCUACCACCCUGCUUGAGGAGUGAGAUCUUCACUCUAACUGUUCUCAGCACAGCCUCCUGGUGCAAAGCUGGACUAAGUAUUUUAAUAUUACACUUUGCACCUCUUUUCUUCAACAGUAAGACCCAAAAUAAACCUUUCUGCCUAGGUAUGAACAUCUGUUUUGCUUCAAAGGUUCAAAAGUAUUCUCUUCAACACAAACUCCCUGACCUCCAUGCUUAGAGCCACGUAAAAGUCAAUUUCUUCUGAGCCACUUAUUGAAACUUGUAAAUGAACUGAUUUUUCUGCAAUUGUGACUUAUCAAUUGCAUCAGCAUUAUCAUUUCUUGCCCACUGGCAGAGGAGUUAUAGUUGUAGAUGGGAGUCAUAUCAGGCAUUCUGUAUG